This 253-nucleotide ribosomal RNA is filed under the name uncultured bacterium. RNAcentral's name for it is "partial 16S ribosomal RNA". It matches the Rfam family "Bacterial small subunit ribosomal RNA", at positions 524 to 776 of the family's 1533-position model. The record is from RNAcentral.
UACGUAGGGUGCGAGCGUUAAUCGGAAUUAUUGGGCCUAAAGCAUCCGUAGCCGGUUCUACGAGUCUUCCGUUAAAUCCACCUGCUUAACAGAUGGGCCGCGGAAGAUACUAUAGAGCUAGGAGGCGGGAGAGGCAAGCGGUACUCGAUGGGUAGGGGUAAAAUCCGUUGAUCCAUUGAAGACCACCAGUGGCGAAGGCGGCUUGCCAGAACGCGCUCGACGGUGAGGGAUGAAAGCUGGGGGAGCAAACCGG